Sapajus apella (tufted capuchin) is the source of this 442-nucleotide long non-coding RNA. RefSeq lists it as uncharacterized. The record is from RefSeq and is a predicted model, not a curated record. NCBI's taxonomy places the organism in Eukaryota, Metazoa, Chordata, Mammalia, Primates, Cebidae. The transcript has 2 exons.
GCUGGAGGGCAGAGAAGAGGAAGGUGUCACCAGAAGGCAGGUUUAGGGAAAACCACGCAUUUGGGUGAAGGGAUCCAAGCCUGGGAAGUGAGACGGACAAACACAAGGAGCUCCAAAGUGGAACAAGGGCAGAGUGGAAGAACUAGAGGCCUGGGGGUAGGACAGGCUGAGCCCUACUGGAGUAAGGACAUAUGGAUAACAGAGGACAGGAGAUUACAGCCACCAGAAGGGUCUGAGGGGAGAGAGAGGAAGAGACAGACUGCUUAAAGGAGGUGGAAAAUAGAAUUUUAGGAAAUAAGACAGGAAGAAGCCAGGUGCAGUGGCUCAGGCCUGUAAUCCCAGCACUUUGGGAGACUGAUGUGGGUAGAUCGCUUUGAGCUCAAGAAUUUGAGACCAGCCUGGCCAAGAUGGCGAAACCCCAUCUCUACCAAAAAUACAAAAG